Long non-coding RNA from Ovis aries (sheep), 925 nucleotides. The record is from Ensembl. Lineage: Eukaryota; Metazoa; Chordata; Mammalia; Artiodactyla; Bovidae.
GCUCCUUGGAAGAAAAGCUAUGACUGACCUAGACAGCGUAUUAAAAAGCAGAGACAAAGGUCCGUCUAGUCACCGACAAAGGUCCGUCUAGUCACCGACAAAGGUCCGUCUAGUCAAAGCUAUGGUUUUUCCAGUAGUCAUGUAUGGAUGUGAGAGUUGGACCAUAAAGAAAGCUGAGUGCCCAAGAAUUAAUGCUUUUGAACUGCGGUAUUGGAGAAGACUCUUGAAAGCCCUUUGGACUGCAAGGAGAUCCAACCAGUCCAUCCUAAAGGAAAUCAACCUUGAAUAUUCAUUGGAAGGUCUGAUGUUGGAGCUGAAACUCCAACACUUUGGCCACCUGAUGCGAAGAGCUGACUCAUUGGAAAAGACCCUGAUGCUGGGAAAGAUUGAGGGCAGGAGGAGAAGGGGACAACAGAGGAUGAUAUGGUUGGAUGGCAUCACCGACUCAAUGGACACGAGUUUGAGCAAACUCCAGAAGGUGAUGGACAGGGAGGCCUGGCGUGCUGCAGUCCACGGGGUCAAAAAGAGUCGGACAUGGCUGAGCAACAACGAAAGCACUUUGAACCAGUGGUUGUUCAGUCACUGAGUUGCGUCUGAUCUUUUCGACCCCAUGGACUGCAGCGUGCCAGGCUCCUCUGCCCUCUACUAUCUCCCAGAGUCCAUGUCCACUGAGUCCGUGAUGCUAGGUAACCGUCUCAUCCGCUGCCCCUUGCUUCUCCUUGAGCUUCAGGCUUCACUCCACAGCUUGGACCGCAACACUGAGGACGAAAUUUAUUAAUAUGAGGCCCAUUGCCCUGCCCACAAGACAGCUGGCUGUAGCUUGGCACUGAGUCCUCGUUUCACCCUGGGCAGUUGGCAGGGGAGAGGAUGGGGAGGCAGGUGCCCCCGCCCAGAGGGGCUCAGCUGAUCUACGCAGCAAAGCAAU